This 4707-nucleotide long non-coding RNA is filed under the name Brassica rapa (field mustard). Its description in RNAcentral is "long non-coding RNA (BRAP_LNC002404)". The record is from RNAcentral. Lineage: Eukaryota; Viridiplantae; Streptophyta; Magnoliopsida; Brassicales; Brassicaceae.
AGUGUUAACUUGAAGAGAAGAAAUGGAGAAACUAAAGGUGUUGAGUUGAGUUGUGGCUUGUGCAAAAGAUAGGGCAAGGUGUCCAGAAGUGUCCUGAUGGAUGUGCAAAGUUAGGGACAAGUCUAGGAUAGACUUAGAAGUGUAUUUGGGAGCAAAUGGGCGAGUGUGCAAAGAUAGGGUGAGGCAGUACGGACGUGUACGGACAGUACGGAUCCGUACGGACCAGGGCGACCCAGAUUUGCAUAACUCCGCCAUUUCAGAAGUUUUGGAGUUGGUGCAAAAAUAGGGUGAGGCUGACGUCCCGGGAAAGCUUGUGCAAUGUCUGGGCAAGGUUUGAGAGUUAUAAAAGUGGUCCUAGUCUUGUGGAUAAGGUUCUGAUCAGAUGGCAUCAAAGGAGAAUCAAGAAGAUGCCAUUGCAGUGUGAUUGGCUACUUUAGUCUUGGGACAGGCUGGCCUUGGCUGUAAAGACAAGGAGAGCCACGACCAUGAACCUGGACUGAUCUGUGGACAGAUUAGGAGGAGCCUAAGGAGAGCCAAUCAUCAUCCAGCCUUCCCCAUUUUGAAUUAAACCAAUCAGGCUUCAUCUCCUCUUAACCAAUCAGCUUUAACUACUCAGAUUGCAACAAGACCAGCUCAUCUACACCAUCCAUUCCUCUUAAGUUAUUUACAGCCAUUAGAUAUAGGUUUAUGAUGUCUCAGAUUGUAAAAGCCUAUAUAAACAGAUGUAUGAGGCAAUUUGUAACUCUUAAGAGAGUUAGGAGGAUUUCCCCUUCUCCUUCAUAAUAUAAAGUGUUCUUGGAUCAGAAUCCCUUAAUCUCUCUAAUACGUCCCUAGAUUGCUUCUCUGGAUAGUAUGGGAUAGAUCCUUGCUAGAACGAAUCAAAGACUCAAGCUUUACAAGGUUGUGGAUCGAUUGGUGACACAAGAGGCUGCGGAAAGGCUCCUUGAUACUCCUAAGUGACUAGAUCGGAUAUGACACACCGAGAUAGACACUCUUGGGUUGUUGGAUAUUACACACCAACAAGAACACUCAACAACUCGUGAACAAGCCGUAGAGAGAACAAAAGGAAGGUUUUUUAUAAAAGAUAAUUGAUGCUUGAUAAGGGUUUUCAAAGUACACUUAUAUAAGAGAAGUUGGAACAGACUCCAAGCUUCUCGAAAACUAUCAAGAGAGUAAAGGCACACGGCUCUCUUGGAAAUAGAAACAAAUGACAAGUUUGAAAAAACAAAAGCAUGAAAUGUAUAACAUAAGGUUGAUCCGGGGUAAGGUUGGAUCGAGAUCAUCAACUAAGAGAUUUGAGAAGCAAAUCUAUGGCCUCGUUAAAAACCUAUCUUUGGAAAACCCAUUGGGACAAAACCAAAGAUAGGGAAAAAGAGCACACAUAGAUUGCUUGCUUAGUUGAUGAUCAGCUUGAUGGUGAAGUAGCUUGAAUAGUGAUAAGUGUGUCUUGGUUGAUCAAGCUUCUACCAAGACAUUCCUCUUGCUUCCAUGACAUCUUAACCAAUCCUCCAAUAACUUGCGUGAGCUUCCUUGAUCUUGAUCGAGUCAUAGGUCCUUUAGGCAAGGCUAGGACAUCUUCAUCAGUUGGCUUGUCUAGAUCCUCAUUAUCUCCAUCAACUAGUUGGUCCAUGAUCACAUCACUCUCCCUUUCUUAGUCUCUAAUCUUCUAAUCUCUCAAAGUCUUUUGUUUCUGAUCUGAGUAAACACUUAAUCACUCACAAACACUUCCACAAAUCUAUCUCUCUCUAAAUCGCCUACAAACUCUCUCUCUGCCCUUUUGGGAUUCACACAAACACACAGCCUGAUAUCUAAGAAAAUCUCAUAUGGUAUCAGAGCCAGGUUCAUCUGAAUCUGGUUCUUAGCUUCCGCAAAGCUCACAAUCUCCUCUCAUGUCGUUUUGAAACCAAGAAGAAGCUUAGAUGAUCCAGCCGGCUGUUCAACAUCUCAAGUGGAAGAUGGGUUCAUCCCUGGUGUCCAGAAGCUGUAUGUGGUCGUUUCUCACCCUCUCAUGACGCCCAUGAAGAAAGAAGGCUCUUGGAAACAAGGCAGGAAGUGGUCUGAUCAACCAAGCUUCAAAGCUUUAUCCAAGCUGUUUCUUAUUAACUGUCCAAGAAGAAAGGUGAUAGCUUUCAUCUGGUACUGGUGUGGCGAGUGUAACAUGAAGAAAGGUGGGGUCUUUGACAUGGAGAGUUCAAGAGAAAGGUCCUUGGAAGAAGGAGAAGUUGGGGUCAACACCAACAGCUCACUGUCUUGCCAUGUUCUAUGGAGUUUCAAGGAACUAACACUAGUUCCGUGGCUGUAAGAAACCUAUUUCUCUUGUUUAAAGCUUGUGUAUGUGAACUGAAUAAUGUAUUAAACAGGUUGUGAUGUUGUGAUGUGAUUGAUAACCUGAGGAUGUGUUUAAAGAUUACUAGAUAUGAAAUGUUUAGAAUCUGUCCCAGGAUGCUUAAAAAGAGUUGUUUGGUGACUGAGAAUUGUUGCUUGAAUCUGGUUCAUAAUGAAUGUAUGUUAGGGAGUUAGUAGUAUUGUCUAAACCUGAUUGCUUUCAUGAAUUGAAACCGAGCUUAAAGUGGAGUGUAGAGUGUUGUUGCUGCCUUAGGUUGAUGCACUUUGAUUCAAGUCUAAGAUGCAGUUAAGGCAGAAGUUAAAAAUGCCUAAGUAGCUUGCAUAAAUCUGGAAAAGAAAGUGCUUGUGCUUAGAGAGUUUGCUUGCAAAGAUUAGAACUUGAAAAUGACUUGUUUAAUCUGUUGCAAUGCUUGUGAUAUUGGGAAUCAAACUUGAUGAUUAAUCAAGGAUUGAUCCCAAUACUAUUGUGUCUUAUCUUUGCUGGAGUUUGAGUGAUGUUUCAGGUUCACAAGAUGUGUUCUUGGUUCACCAUCCAUCCGAGUUGAAAGUAGGAGACUUUUGCCCAUUGAGUGUGCAAUGGAGAGUUGAGAAAGAAGUGGUGAUGCGCCACUGGUGUGAAGUCUCACUGAAGCUCACUUGCAAGCUUGGACUUAUUAUAUCCAAUCCAAGCUUGAGGAGGGGAGUUUAGUGAGCUAUCAGCCGGUUCAGAAGGUCCGUUGCAAGCAACUGAAGAAGAAGGAGCCAUCCGGGUCUAGGCAGUGGGGUGUCUAGGCAAGAGAGUGUUCAGAGCACUCUUGGCUGUGAGAAGAUGAAGACUCUAUCAGUGCGGCUUCUAGUGUGAGGUGACUGAAGAGGUAGCUGAAGUUUCCACAAGCACUCCAUGAAGAUGGUGAGUUCAGAAGGUGUUGUAAUGGUGUGACUGGGCGGAUCAAGAAGCUAUCCUUCCAAGCUUGACUUGUUCUACAUGGUCAAGCUUGAGGGGGAGUGUUGAGAAAGCUUCUAUGAUCCUAGAGUCUUUGGUGGUUAUUCAAGAAGAGGAGCAGAUCAGUUAUGAAGCAUAAUGAAGGAUGAAGAAGCAAUCACCAAUGCGGCCUCUAGAGUGAGGUGAUUGGUACUACAGUCUGAAGCAUCCUGUCAUGAUUUCAGUAACAUGGUGGUGACUCAUGAAGAAGAAGCAGCCAAGACUCAGCUUGUAUCUAUCAAGGAAGAUCUGGUAGUCCGAGCACUUGAUACACAACAAGAAGGUUGUGAGAAAGGGGGAGAGACCAAGAUCUGUCUGAAGAAGAGUACAAGAAGUGUUGAUGAUGAGCAAGAGGAGUGGGUUCUAUCUUGCAUCACAUGAGGGCCAUGAUCCAGAGUCUUUGUGUCCCUUACAUUGUUGGUAAGGCACAAAGACUCACUGGCCAAUCCCUAGGCCUUGGAGACUUUACUCUUUUUCCCUCAUCAAGGUUUUGUCCCAAAGGGUUUUCCUUGGUGAGGUUUUUAAUGAGGAAGUUCUUCAAGGUUCCAAGCGUGACUAAGGAUCUCCUAUAGUCAAGCUUGAGGGGAAGUGUUAACUUGAAGAGAAGAAAUGGAGAAACUAAAGGUGUUGAGUUGAGUUGUGGCUUGUGCAAAAGAUAGGGCAAGGUGUCCAGAAGUGUCCUGAUGGAUGUGCAAAGUUAGGGACAAGUCUAGGAUAGACUUAGAAGUGUAUUUGGGAGCAAAUGGGCGAGUGUGCAAAGAUAGGGUGAGGCAGUACGGACGUGUACGGACAGUACGGAUCCGUACGGACCAGGGCGACCCAGAUUUGCAUAACUCGGCCAUUUCAGAAGUUUUGGAGUUGGUGCAAAAAUAGGGUGAGGCUGACGUCCCGGGAAAGCUUGUGCAAUGUCUGGGCAAGGUUUGAGAGUUAUAAAAGUGGUCCUAGUCUUGUGGAUAAGGUUCUGAUCAGAUGGCAUCAAAGGAGAAUCAAGAAGAUGCCAUUGCAGUGUGAUUGGCUACUUUAGUCUUGGGACAGGCUGGCCUUGGCUGUAAAGACAAGAAGAGCCACGACCAUGAACCUGGACUGAUCUGUGGACAGAUUAGGAGGAGCCUAAGGAGAGCCAAUCAUCAUCCAGCCUUCCCCAUUUUGAAUUAAACCAAUCAGGCUUCAUCUCCUCUUAACCAAUCAGCUUUAACUACUCAGAUUGCAACAAGACCAGCUCAUCUACACCAUCCAUUCCUCUUAAGUUAUUUACAGCCAUUAGAUAUAGGUUUAUGAUGUCUCAGAUUGUAAAAGCCUAUAUAAACAGAUGUAUGAGGCAAUUUGUAACUCUUAAGAGAGUUAGGGGGAUUUCCCCUUCUCCUUCAUAAUAGAAAAGUGUUCUUGGAUCAGAAUCCCUU